UCGGCUCCCUCCUCCGGCACACCAUCAGCAGUUCAGCACCUCCAGCCACUCUGUCGUGGCGACCACCAUCAGCUGAUCCGUGGUCCGGUGUGGAAGAUGCUCUGUCUGCUUGGCAUGGCACACUGUCCAGGACCUCCUACUGGAGCAUCUGGUCUUCUGGGUCAACAGCCGCCGCCACAGGCACAACACUACGUCUGCGCCCUUGCACCAACCUGCACCACCCAUGCCCUGGCACCAUCCUUCCACCUACUGACUUUGCGAUGUUCUACGACCUGCACCGCCACCAGCUACACCAACUCCACCGUCUGCUCCGACAGGUACGACUGCACCAAGCUGGGACCAGGCAGCUUUUCUUGCUGCCAUGAACUACACCGGACAGGGCAAUAGAGCUGGCUGAUCUUCAACUCAGGUGCUUUGCCUGUCUUUGUGCCUAUACAAGUGGUGCUGAACCAACAUUAUCACCAGCACUACAGCCGGUUAUGUCUACUUCUGCAGAAGACAUUGGGCCCACUAUCAACCACCAGCCAGCUACCUCUGCUGAUGCAUUGGAUCAGCAGUCACAUCACUUCGCCUCUCGUCAGAUCAUCAUACAAAUUCUGCUGCUGCUUCCCCUGUUAUGCCCAAUGCUCCUUCUUCCCCUGAUUCUUCUGAACCAUCACCUUCACCAUCCACUGCUCUCCCAGUUCCUAUUCCUCAAAAUGAGCAUCACAUGUGCACUUGUGCCAAGGCUGGUCUUGGUAUUCCUAAACCUGUCUUUGAUCUUCAUGCCACUUCCAUUUCGCCUCUUCCCACAUCUGGCUACAGUGUGUUCCUCGUGAAGUUUCCUGAUCAUCCAAGCAAUAGCUUACUGUUUCUCGUUCAUCGGCCGAGGCUGAGUAUCACUCAGUGUCUCAUGCUGUAGCUGUGACAACUCCUUUACGAGCUACAACAAUCAAUUCAGCAGGUUGCCAUUGGAUUCCGUAAUGACAUAUCAGCUGGGUAUUUGUCAUCAAAUCCUGUACAACAUAGGAAAACUAAGCAUAUUUGAGAUAGAUAUACACUUUUUUAGGGAAAAGGUGGUAUUAGGCCAAGUCAGAGUGCUCCGCUUACCUACCACAGCAGGGGGUGUUAUAAAAGGUCUGCUCAUAGCUAUCUUCGGUGACAUCAGGUCCAGUCUCAAGGGUCACAACGCCUGACACUGAAACAUCAAGGGGUGUUAGACAGUAUCCCACAUGAGAUUUGAAGCUUUGAAAUGAUAUUUAAACUACUAGCAUAAAGCAAACAAGAGAUGCAGCCCAGUAGCCCACCACAGCUGAUUGCAUAAGCUCAUCCUUACCCUUGCAUUCAUUUCAAGCAGCUGUCUCAAGAACUCAAGUCUCUGAAACAACAAGGCAGGUGCAUGUAUAAAUUAGGUUCUAACAUAAAACGAUCCUACUAGAGAACAACAAAUGUCAUCCUACUCGGGUCACAUCUUACUGUCUUCCUUGCUCCUCGACAUAACAUCGAGCACCAAAAGCGCAACCUCACUAGUUCCAAUUUCAGUCAUACACACAAGACACGUCAUAUUCACCCAGGACCCUAUGCAAAAUGGCCACUCCCUCGAAUUUCCUCGUGAUUCAAAAAAUUCUCAAACAUUGACAUGCUCACUACCUUUAUAUAAACCUGACCACACAAGUGUUGCUCGAACCCCACAUGUAUUGCUUGACAAUUACCUGAAAAUGAUGCCCACUGUAGUUCCAGCUGGAUGGUCUCCUGAUUGAACUUGAACAGUGGCCAUGGUGUCGGUCGGAGCUUUGGUUCCAUCAUAGCC
This 1789-nucleotide long non-coding RNA is filed under the name Hordeum vulgare. RNAcentral's name for it is "long non-coding RNA (HVUL_LNC020755)". The record is from RNAcentral. Lineage: Eukaryota; Viridiplantae; Streptophyta; Magnoliopsida; Poales; Poaceae.